RNAcentral lists this ribosomal RNA (482 nucleotides) under uncultured bacterium. RNAcentral's name for it is "partial 16S ribosomal RNA". It matches the Rfam family "Bacterial small subunit ribosomal RNA", at positions 30 to 507 of the family's 1533-position model. The record is from RNAcentral.
AUUGAACGCUGGCGGCAUGCCUUACGCAUGCAAGUCGAACGGUAACGGGCCUUCGGGUGCCGACGAGUGGCGCACGGGUGAGUAAUACAUCGGAACGUGCCCGAUCGUGGGGGAUAACGAGGCGAAAGCUUUGCUAAUACCGCAUACGAUCUACGGAUGAAAGCAGGGGACCGCAAGGCCUUGCGCGGACGGAGCGGCCGAUGGCAGAUUAGGUAGUUGGUGGGAUAAAAGCUUACCAAGCCGACGAUCUGUAGCUGGUCUGAGAGGAUGAUCAGCCACACUGGGACUGAGACACGGCCCAGACUCCUACGGGAGGCAGCAGUGGGGAAUUUUGGACAAUGGGCGCAAGCCUGAUCCAGCCAUGCCGCGUGCAGGAUGAAGGCCUUCGGGUUGUAAACUGCUUUUGUACGGAACGAAAAGCCUUCUUUUAAUACAGGAGGGUCAUGACGGUACCGGAAGAAUAAGCACCGGCUAACUACGUG